UGGGAAUAUUGCACAAUGGGGGAAACCCUGAUGCAGCGACGCCGCGUGAGCGAAGAAGGUUUUCGAAUCGUAAAGCUCUGUCCUAUGAGAAGAUAAUGACGGUAUCAUAGGAGGAAGCCCCGGCUAAAUACGUGCCAGCAGCCGCGGUAAUACGUAUGGGGCGAGCGUUGUCCGGAAUUAUUGGGCGUAAAGGGUACGUAGGCGGUCUAUUAAGUCAGGUGUGAAAGCGUGAGGCUUAACCUCAUUAAGCACUUGAAACUGAUAGACUUGAGUGAAGGAGAGGAAAGUGGAAUUCCUAGUGUAGCGGUGAAAUGCGUAGAUAUUAGGAGGAAUACCGGUGGCGAAGGCGACUUUCUGGACUUUUACUGACGCUCAGGUACGAAAGCGUGGGGAGCAAACAGG
This 402-nucleotide ribosomal RNA is filed under the name Verrucomicrobiota bacterium. Its description in RNAcentral is "Verrucomicrobia bacterium partial 16S ribosomal RNA". It matches the Rfam family "Bacterial small subunit ribosomal RNA", at positions 356 to 776 of the family's 1533-position model. The record is from RNAcentral. Lineage: Bacteria; Pseudomonadati; Verrucomicrobiota.